CGAGUUUGAUCCUGGCUCAGAUUGAACGCUGGCGGUAUGCUUAACACAUGCAAGUCGAACGGUAACAGGAGAAGCUUGCUUCUUGCUGACGAGUGGCGGACGGGUGAGGAACGCGUAGGAAUCUGCCUCAUGGCGGGGGCGCACCGAAAGGUGCGCUAAUACCGCAUAAGCCCUACGGGGGAAAGCGGGGGACCUUCGUGCCUCGCUCCAGGAGAGGAGCCGGCGUUAGAUUAUCUAGUUGGUGGGGUAAAGGCCUACCAAGGCUACGAUCCAUAGCUGAUUUGAGAGGAUGAUCAGCCACAUUGGGACUGAGACACGGCCCAAACUCCUACGGGAGGCAGCAGUGGGGAAUAUUGGACAAUGGGGGAAACCCUGAUCCAGCAAUGCCAUGUGUGUGAAGAAGGCUCUAGGGUUGUAAAGCACUUUAGUUGGGGAGGAAAGCUUAUGAGUUAAUAGCUCGUGGGAAGGACGUUACCCAAAGAAUAAGCACCGGCUAACUCCGUGCCAGCAGCCGCGGUAAUACGGGGGGUGCAAGCGUUAAUCGGAAUUACUGGGCGUAAAGGGUUCGUAGGUGGUAUGUUAAGUCAGAUGUGAAAGCCCAGGGCUCAACCUUGGAACUGCAUUUGAUACUGGCAAACUAGAGUAUGGUAGAGGAAUGGGGAAUUUCUGGUGUAGCGGUGAAAUGCGUAGAGAUCUGAAGGAAUACCAGUGGCGAAGGCGGCCCCCUGGAUUGAUACUGACACUGAGGUGCGAAAGCGUGGGGAGCAAACAGGAUUAGAUACCCUGGUAGUCCACGCCGUAAACGAUGUCUACUAGCCGUUGGGGAGCUUGCCUCCUUAGUGGCGCAGCUAACGCAAUAAGUAGACCGCCUGGGGAGUACGGUCGCAAGAUUAAAACUCAAAUGAAUUGACGGGGGCCCGCACAAGCGGUGGAGCAUGUGGUUUAAUUCGAUGCAACGCGAAGAACCUUACCAGGUCUUGACAUCCUGCGAAUUUUCUAGAGAUAGAUUAGUGCCUUCGGGAACGCAGUGACAGGUGCUGCAUGGCUGUCGUCAGCUCGUGUCGCGAGAUGUUGGGUUAAGUCCCGUAACGAGCGCAACCCUUGUCCUUAGUUGCCAGCACGUAAUGGUGGGAACUCUAAGGAGACUGCCGGUGACAAACCGGAGGAAGGUGGGGACGACGUCAAGUCAUCAUGGCCCUUACGACCUGGGCUACACACGUGCUACAAUGUCAGGUACAGAGGGUUACCAAGCCGCGAGGUGGAGCUAAUCCCAGAAAACCGAUCGUAGUCCGGAUUGGAGUCUGCAACUCGACUCCAUGAAGUCGGAAUCGCUAGUAAUCGCGAAUCAGAAUGUCGCGGUGAAUACGUUCCCGGGCUUUGUACACACCGCCCGUCACACCAUGGGAGUGGGUUGCAAAAGAAGUGGGUAGACUAACCUUCGGGAGGUCGCUCACCACUUUGUGAUUCAUGACUGGGGUGAAGUCGGAACAAGGUA
RNAcentral lists this ribosomal RNA (1495 nucleotides) under uncultured prokaryote. RNAcentral describes it as "partial 16S ribosomal RNA". It matches the Rfam family "Bacterial small subunit ribosomal RNA". The record is from RNAcentral.